AAACUUUUUUAUACCUAUUAAUAUUGAAGGAGGUAUAAAUUAUUGAUUUACACCUCUUAAAUAUUACAAGAGGUAUAGAUUAUUUUACCUAUUUAGUUUGUUUUUCCCGCCAUACUUUUUAUUUUUUGCGCAAAACUUCAUCUCCAUUGUCGGUUCACUCGUGUUGAGGUGGUUGGGUAGAGUUCUUCUUCUCGUUUCAAGUUGCUUUCCUUUCUCAUUCACCGUGCCUUUCUCAUUCACUGUAACUUUCACACAUUUCUCAGAAUCAGAAGUCUCAGAAGCAGCACUUCUCAGCGUCUUCGCACAUCAGAGAACAUUUCUCAACGUCGUCUUCCUCACUUUCAGUGGCUCGAGAGCUCAUCCUUCACCAUCNCAGAGCAUCUUCCUCACUUUCAGGUUAGGGUUUCUUCUGCAUUUCCUCAUUUCCUCAUCUUCCACCGAUUAUAAUCACAUUCUACCAAUUAUAGUCCCUUUCCACCGUNUAAAACCUCUUUUUCACCGAUCAAUCGGUCCAUUCUAAGGUUCUAUGGUUCCCUCACNGUUUUGCAUCGAUUAAACAAGUUCUCUUGAGGGGCGUGUGCUACCAGGGAACAACUCUUACAACUCAUAGAGGAUGGAUUUGCCUGGUACUGAUUGGCUGUCGGUCUCUACUAGUGAUGGAAAAAAAUAUUACUACAACAAUCNAACCAAGCUGCUGGCAAAUUCCAAAUGAGGUGUCUGAAUUGAAAAAGAAACAAGAUGGUGAUGUUACAAAAGAUCAGUUAAUGUCAGUUCCAAAUACUAAUGUAUUGUGUGAUAGAGGGUCUGGAAUGGUUACUCUGAAUGCUCCUNCUAUUAAUACUGGUGGUCNUGAU
Molecule: long non-coding RNA, 854 nt
Organism: Vigna radiata var. radiata (mung bean)
Lineage: Eukaryota; Viridiplantae; Streptophyta; Magnoliopsida; Fabales; Fabaceae
Exons: 3
Source: RefSeq, a predicted model, not a curated record